Hibiscus syriacus is the source of this 531-nucleotide long non-coding RNA. RefSeq lists it as uncharacterized. The record is from RefSeq and is a predicted model, not a curated record. The transcript is spliced from 3 exons. Lineage: Eukaryota; Viridiplantae; Streptophyta; Magnoliopsida; Malvales; Malvaceae.
CCACUCAAUAAGAGAUGGACAUCCUUGCUGCACUUGAUGAAAUGAAGUCUAUGAAGUCCAGACAUGCAACCAUGAACAUAGAUGCGAUGUUGGAGGCCUUUCAGCUCAUUUUAAAAAAAGAGAAGAAUAUAGAAGAAGACUCUAAGGUUUCUCAUCUUGAGUUAGCAGAGAGAACUUUUGCACCAUUGGACGAUCAUCGGAGGUCGGAUUCGUGACGAUUAGCAUGAGGUGGUUCGAACGAUGUAUUUUAUGUCUUGAACGGUGAUCGGAGACGGCGGUCGACACGGUGGUCACCGGUUUUCGCUUGUCGCAGAUGAAGGUUCUUUGUUUACCUUCAGAGAACGACUUGAAAAAAAAAUGAGAAUUGGCGAAAGCUGCGUUAAAAUGAAGUGUGAAAUGAAUGAAUGGCAGUGUACAUGGCUUUGGAAAGAAAAAAAAAAGAGGGUGCACGUGAUUUUUGGGGUUGUUAUUAAAGUGAGAAGGAGAAAUUGCAAGAUUGUCCGUGUUCGUUAGAAAAAGAUUGGAAGCUAG